Molecule: long non-coding RNA, 89 nt
Organism: Sinocyclocheilus anshuiensis
Lineage: Eukaryota; Metazoa; Chordata; Actinopteri; Cypriniformes; Cyprinidae
Exons: 4
Source: RefSeq, a predicted model, not a curated record
GUAGUGCAUGAGCAUGUAACCACACCUAUUACGGAGUCUUUUGUGGGAUUAUGUACACAAAGCAUUUGCACUGUUCCACAGCCAGCUGC